Molecule: ribosomal RNA, 556 nt
Filed under: Rhodotorula mucilaginosa
Lineage: Eukaryota; Fungi; Basidiomycota; Microbotryomycetes; Sporidiobolales; Sporidiobolaceae
Description: eukaryotic LSU rRNA
Rfam family: Eukaryotic large subunit ribosomal RNA
Source: RNAcentral
GGAUUCCCCUAGUAGCGGCGAGCGAAGCGGGAAGAGCUCAAAUUUAUAAUCUGGCACCUUCGGUGUCCGAGUUGUAAUCUCUAGAAAUGUUUUCCGCGUUGGACCGCACACAAGUCUGUUGGAAUACAGCGGCAUAGUGGUGAGACCCCCGUAUAUGGUGCGGACGCCCAGCGCUUUGUUAUACAUUUUCGAAGAGUCGAGUUGUUUGGGAAUGCAGCUCAAAUUGGGUGGUAAAUUCCAUCUAAAGCUAAAUAUUGGCGAGAGACCGAUAGCGAACAAGUACCGUGAGGGAAAGAUGAAAAGCACUUUGGAAAGAGAGUUAACAGUACGUGAAAUUGUUGGAAGGGAAACGCUUGAAGUCAGACUUGCUUGCCGAGCAAUCGGUUUGCAGGCCAGCAUCAGUUUUCCGGGAUGGAUAAUGGUAAAGAGAAGGUAGCAGUUUCGGCUGUGUUAUAGCUCUCUACUGGAUACAUCCUGGGGGACUGAGGAACGCAGUGUGCCUUUGACGGGGGUUUCGACCUCUUCACACUUAGGAUGCCUGGUGGAAUGCCAGUAA